AAGCACAAUAACAUUCGACCUGCCGCCCCCCAAACGACUCAUUCUCCAGUUUGAGUUUGUUGAGCAGAGGCUGUGUAUGUUUUAGUUCUAUAAAGCCGUGUCCAUUAUAACAUUCAGUAAUCAAUUCAUUGCAUGAAGUAUUGCACCAUGCAAUCAAUUGUCAGUUCUAAACAUGUCUUUUCUCUAUGCUUGGGAUGCAUUUCCCUGCAUUUGACAGAGGGUUGGUGGUUGGAGCACAUCUUUGGAGCCGCUGAGCCGGAGGAGCCCGUAUUAAUCCUGCUGUAGGACUCAUUGCAGCCGGCACUGGCAGGUUGAACAAACAACAACCAAAAUGAACGAGGAUGCCCACAAGCCUCACAAGACUCGUCUGAAGGUCCUGGGUACCAGUAAUGAAUGCCUCAAAACCGAAGACCACAUGUAACCACGCCAGGCCAGGACCUCCACAUCCGGCUUCUUCACCAGCGGGAUCAUCUGAGACCAGCCACCCGGACAGCUGAUGAAACUGAGGAGUAUUUCUAUCUGUAAUAAAGCCCUUUUGUGGGGGAAUGGUCUGGACCUGUGUCCUCCCAGGCCCAACCAUGGCUAUGCCUCUG
RNAcentral lists this long non-coding RNA (593 nucleotides) under Salmo salar (Atlantic salmon). RNAcentral describes it as "lncRNA (ENSSSAG00000082249.1, ENSSSAG00000110888.1, ENSSSAG00020063075.1)". Lineage: Eukaryota; Metazoa; Chordata; Actinopteri; Salmoniformes; Salmonidae. The record is from RNAcentral.